This is an RNA transcript of Ornithorhynchus anatinus (platypus), 1111 nucleotides long. RefSeq lists it as uncharacterized. Lineage: Eukaryota; Metazoa; Chordata; Mammalia; Monotremata; Ornithorhynchidae. The transcript has 5 exons. The record is from RefSeq and is a predicted model, not a curated record.
CCCCCGGCUCCCCGGCUCCCCCCGGCGCUGCGGACCCGGGCCCGACAGUUCCAGCCUCACUAUCAGUUGUGUGCUGAGUGGAAGACUGAGAUUUUGAGUCAUCACACCAACAGAAAUUGAGAUAUCUACUGGGGUAACUGCAGGCCAUGGCACUGGCUUUCUGAAUCCUAGGAACUGGCCAAGAUCUUAAAUAGUUUACGGGGGUGAAAGACUUUUUGAAGGAGAACAAAGAUCUUGAAACUUGUGUUCUAGAAGACUUGCAGAAGCUAGAAGCUGUGAAGGAGCAGUUGUGUCCACAAAAGCUUUUAAAGGAUUUGGGAAAAGCGAUGCCUGAAGAAGAGGAAAAUAAAGGUGGCUGUUCAUGAAAAUGAAACAUGCUGUCUGAAGAUGAACUUAAUUACUAUCUCAGAAUAUACUGGCACUUUCAAAAGAGGAAAAUCCUUGGCAAUAAGCCAGAUCAAAAGUUUGGCACACUGGAUAAGGAUUUUCUGUGGUGGUGUUUUUUUCUCUUUGUGUGAAUAUAAGGGUGACCAGCGAGCUAAGAAUCCCUGUCGAGAAAUAAGACCAUAUGAGCACCCUACCUUAAGGCCCUCAGCAGGAAUAACUCCAGUGAGGCUGAGUCCAAUUAUUUUAAAUGGAAUAAAGAUAAUUUAUUGCUUUAACUGCCACACUUAUUCUUGACCUGCAUCAUAUAUGACAAUUACUUUCCCCACCUUCAAAGCCUUAUUGAAGGCAUAUCUUCUCCAUAAGGUCUCCCCUGACUAAGACUUCAUUUCCUCUUCUCCUACUCUCUUCUGCAUCACCCUGAUCUGCUCUCUUUUAGUCACCCCUCCCUCAGCCCCACAGCACUUACAUAUCCGUAAUUUAUUUAUUUUAAUGUCUGUCCCGCCCCUCUAGACUGUAAACUUGUGGGCAAGGAACAUACCUAUCAAAUCUGUUGGAUUGUACUAUCCCAAGCGUAUAGUACAGUUCUCUGUGCACAGUAAGCCCUCAAUAAAUACCAUUGAUUGACUGGACACCCUGCAGGAGCAGAAUGGCUAGGCAAAUCAGAGGGCUUCAAGGUUCCUCGAGAGGUCUCCUUGCUUCAAUAAAGAUUGCAGAUUAGCACUGA